UAUUAUUCACACCAAGCCGGCCUCGUUAGCGUUUGAUCAUGGCUCAUGAAAGAACGCUGGCGGCGUGCCUAAUUCCUGCAAGGUCGUAGCGGUCCGGCACUCAACUAAGUGCUUACUUAAGGGGAAGGAAGUAUAGUAGAAGAAGAAAGUAAUAAAAGUGGUGCAAAGUAAGGUAAGCACGGAGUUGAGUGCCGGAUAGCGGCGGACGGGUGAGUAACGCGUGGGCAACCUACCCUUAAGACCGGGAUAACACCUCGAAAGGGGUGCUAAUACUGGAUAAGCUCCUUGUAGGGCAUCCUAUGGGGAGGGAAGGUAGCGGAAGCUACCGCUUAAGGAUGGGCCCGCGUCCCAUCAGCUAGUUGGUAGGGUAACGGCCUACCAAGGCGACGACGGGUAGCCGGCCUGAGAGGGUGGUCGGCCACACUGGGACUGAGACACGGCCCAGACUCCUACGGGAGGCAGCAGUGGGGAAUCUUGCGCAAUGGGCGAAAGCCUGACGCAGCGACGCCGCGUGAGCGAAGAAGGCCUUCCGNGUCGUAAAAGCUCGAUAGUGUGGGAAGAAUAGAUGACCGUACCCCACGAAAAGCCCCGGCCUAAAUAUGUGCCAGCCUGCCGCGGUAAAGUCCUACGGGGGCGAACCGUUGUCCCGGAAUUACUGGGGCGUUAAAGGGUGCGCAAGCCGCCCCUUUAGGUCCACGUGGUAAAAAACCCGGGCUCACCCCGGGGGAUGCACUUGAAACUGGGUGGCUAUAGGGCUCGUACAAGGCGAGUGGAAAUUCCCCGGUGUAGCGCUGAAAUGC
Molecule: ribosomal RNA, 800 nt
Filed under: uncultured bacterium
Lineage: Bacteria
Description: bacterial SSU rRNA
Rfam family: Bacterial small subunit ribosomal RNA
Source: RNAcentral